UCUAAACGGUGGUGACUCCCAGUAGAGUCGUGUUUGUUCUGUUUAUGAUGGAACAGUAGUCUACAACAUAUUCGUUACUACUUUGGUUAGGAUUCCAAUACACCCCCUUAGCAAAUAUGCGAGGACGGUAGAGUUUCUCCUCCAAAAACACCAAGCGACGAUAGAUGCGUGGUGAUUUUUGGACCACACAUGGGCUUCUUAAGCAGAUCUGCAUGCAUGUCCUGUGUAGGGAUUUGACGGUAGUAGAUGAAUUGUGUUUAAGCUCUAAUGAUCUUUGUCACAUUUCCUGUGUAGGAAUCUGUGGGAGUAGAUGAAUUGGAGCUUUUGAAGAGAGGUGAGUUCGCUCAAAAAAUGGUACGGCACUACAAUAUGCCUGGUGUGGUUAUAAAAUUUCAUCGUGUCAAUUAUGGCGAGCGCGGACUGAUUGUCACAGAAGAUUUGAGUGGGUGCCAUGAGGUCAUGUCGCAGAGUGUGAAGAAGAUGCCAUAGCCAAACCACUUCGGAAGCAGCGUUAAUCUUUUGUACCGUUCAUGGGGCAAUUGUUUCAGCCCGUAGAGUGUUUUAUGGAGGCGACAAAUCAUAUCAGGUUUUGGAGAAAACUUGUUAUUGUAGUCCAAGCCGAGGACUUGGCUGAAUCCACGUGCGACUAACUAAGCUUUGAAGCGGUCGAUGGUGCCAUUUGGUUUCAGUUUUAAUUUAAACAACCACCAACACGUGAUGGGAUGGCGACCGGAAGGAAGUUCAGUGAAGUUCCAAGUUCUAUUCGCAGCAUGGGAGUUGAGCUCGUCUUCAAUGGGGGAUUGCCACUGUUUUGCUUUCGGAGAGUAAAUGGCGUGCUGCAAUGCCGAAGGCUGGUUGGAAGAGCAGUGCCUUGUUUCGCAACUAGUUUGGAUGUGAAAGUGCAGAGAGGGACCGCAAAGACCAAGUGGGAGAGGUCACCGCUUUGAGAUUACAGGGAUGGCCGUCGAUAGGAAGGUUCGCCCUAGUGAAUGUUGAUGAACAUCAUUGCAUGGAGACAUUGCCAAAAGAAGGGAGAGACAAAGUAGAGCUGUGAAACAGCGACGCCGAGUUGAACUGAUUUGGUGUGAGAGGGUGUGGUAACAUUGAGACAAAGUCAUUGUCAUUGGUACUAAAGUCGGAUGCAACAUCAAAUUUUGAGGCUUUGCUGUGUACGGAUCCCGGGUGGCAGAGAAGAGGCCGCAGUAGCUGGGUGUGCAUGUUGCUGGUUAUUUGAUUUGCUUGCAAGACAGAAUGAUUUGGUUCCAAGGUUGUAUCCAAAAGGUACAGUUUAUCAGAAAGUGGACAUUCAGCAAGUACGAAAUCAUUAUAGGAGAGUAAUCGGCAUUUUUUUUUUUUUUUUUUUUUUUUUGAGUAUUCCUUCGCCAGUUCGGUGCCAUUUCGGUCAUAAUCAUUGACUAAAAACAAGUUUUAUUUUUGCUAAUCUAGAAUAUAAAAGGUGUUGGUGAGUCAGAUGGUGUACCCAUUUACCAUUGUGAUUUCGACUUUGCCAUAUCCACAUAUGGAGAGUGUAGUGUUAUCACUAAGUUAAACUUUUUCACUAGUUAAGAAAGACUCAAACAUGAUAAAUUGAUUCUUGUUAUGUACUAAGUGGUGUGUUACAUCAAUGUCAAUGAACCAUUGGUCGUCUUUGAGUACUCUAGAUGAAAUUCAUUUUGCUGAGCAAUGUGUUUAUGUGAAAUAUACAUGUGUAUAAAAUGUGGGAGGCAUUUCUUUCACAUUUUCAGAUUUUCA
Physcomitrium patens is the source of this 1752-nucleotide non-coding RNA. Lineage: Eukaryota; Viridiplantae; Streptophyta; Bryopsida; Funariales; Funariaceae. The record is from RefSeq and is a predicted model, not a curated record.